Non-coding RNA from Linepithema humile (Argentine ant), 683 nucleotides. The record is from RefSeq and is a predicted model, not a curated record. Lineage: Eukaryota; Metazoa; Arthropoda; Insecta; Hymenoptera; Formicidae.
CGCGUCACAAAAAGAAGAUAAUUUGACAUUGCUUGUGAUAAUUUUUUCUUUAUGAUACCACACGACACAAGCGGGCAGGAUUCGAUUAAAAUGUCGCAGGCAGAUUUUAAACGAAACAAAAAAAAGAACAAUAUAAGAACAAUAACGCAAAAUUAAAAAAUAAUCACAUCGAUCAUGCUCGACAAUAAUCAACGAAAGGAAUAAAAGUGGUUAAAUCGUCGACGCUCGCACAUUUGGAGUUUUACAACACAUAUUCCCUAAAAAUUUCAUCCAACUGCGUAAAUUUUGUAUUUUUAUUAAACUAAUUGAAUUAUUUUUUCACUUUUAGAUGCGGAAUUGAAGUUUCUACGUUAUGUGCGCUCAUUUCUUGCAAGCAAUAAAGGAUUAAAUUCUCAUCACGUAAACGGCUCUGACCAGCAAGAGACCGUAUUUCAUUGGUCACGGCAUUUCCGCGAACGGACUAUGGGGACUACCGUGUAGAUAAAGUGACACAUUAAUGGCGGGUGCGAGAUAAGAGAGGACAAGAACUAACUCUUCGACUUCCCGGCAUAUGAUGUCACGGGAUGUAGUGCAACGUGGAAGGAACGUUUCGGGCGUUUCGAGUUCAAAAAUCGUUAAGAGACGCGUCCUGACCUGUCUUGCAGCUUGGUAGGAUUGGAGUCGGGCUUCUUAAUCUGCGGGAA